GCCUGGGUGGCUUAGUUUGUUGAGUGUCUGACUUCGGCUCAGGUCACGAUCUCACAGUCUGUGGGUUCGAGCCCCACAUCAGGCU
Molecule: transfer RNA, 85 nt
Filed under: Felis catus (domestic cat)
Lineage: Eukaryota; Metazoa; Chordata; Mammalia; Carnivora; Felidae
Also listed under: 3 other names
Rfam family: tRNA
About the family: Transfer RNA (tRNA) molecules are approximately 80 nucleotides in length. Their secondary structure includes four short double-helical elements and three loops (D, anti-codon, and T loops). Further hydrogen bonds mediate the characteristic L-shaped molecular structure. tRNAs have two regions of fundamental functional importance: the anti-codon, which is responsible for specific mRNA codon recognition, and the 3' end, to which the tRNAs corresponding amino acid is attached (by aminoacyl-tRNA synthetases). tRNAs cope with the degeneracy of the genetic code in two manners: having more than one tRNA (with a specific anti-codon) for a particular amino acid; and 'wobble' base-pairing, i.e. permitting non-standard base-pairing at the 3rd anti-codon position.
Source: Rfam by way of RNAcentral